CUAAUUCAGAGGAUAACAAGGCUUGUUGUUCCUGGAUACAGGGAUUGGGGCUGAGUCUGCACUGGCACAGCCUGAGCUGGACUGCCCAUCAUUCUUACCUUGGGCAAUGAAGGUUGAGUGAAUUGCCCAAUGUUACACAGCUAGCCUCAGCCAGCAUGAUCCCUGGGCUUAAAAGGACCAGGGUGGCCAGGGCAAUUCCUAUGGGAUUUCCCACACUAUAAUUCUUUUGGAUGGAGUCUGAGGAACAGAAGAUCAGAGGCCUUCAUUGACACAAGAAUGUGACUUUUCUAUUCAAAAGCCUUUGGAAAUGCCCCAUAGCCUUCCUCAGUUCAUCUUCCCCACCUGCUAGCUGACAGUUCCAAACCACUCACCGGUCUUCAGCUGUGGACAGUUUGGCAUCAGCAAACAAAAGAAGUGGAGACUGACUUUUCUGCCUCUACACCCCUCCCCCAAACAUACACACACUCCCAUGAGAAUGGAUCCAUCAGCUCUUCCCCAGAGCAGAGAUCAUCUCUGAGACUGUGACAGAAGGGCAUCUGACACCAGCAGGAGAGGUGGAGAGGCAGGUCCAGAAGACACCUGUUGAUAUGUCAAGUAGAUUCUGACAGGUCAGUGCAGCUGGAUUGUGGGCAGCCCUACAGCUGAACUGGAGAGUAAAAACAUGCCUUAGAGUAAAGUUGUCUUAGAAGAAGUGGGCUGGGUAGCUUGUAGGACAAAGGACAAAUGUCUGUGCAAGGCUGGUCAGGGAGGAAAGGGGACAGAGCAGUGACUUCUCAAACUUCUGUGAGAUAGGGUCACAAGGAUGUCUGUCCAUGUUGGCAUGGGACCUGGGGAGCCAUGAUAAUUCCUGACUGAGAGCUGAUUCUGACCCUCUGACACCUGUGAGUCCUGGAGAAGCUGUGGGCCCUGAUUUGGCUCAGCCUUCCAGAGGUGAGCAGCACAGAGAGUCACUCUUGAAGAUAAACAUCCCAAGACUAGGAGGUGGGACAAACCUUAGCCUUUCUCUGUGCCCCACACGUGGUCCUGAGCCCUAAGGUGUCCCAGGGCAUGGAGACAUCUCUGGGUUCAGGGUAUUGAAAGUUUUAGUUAAUGUGACCAGAUGAGGAGAGGGUUGUGUGAAUGUCUGUCUAAGAUGAUAGAAACAGGCAGUAAAAAACAAAAACAAAAAACAGCCUAAUGCACAUAAGAACAGAAGGAGACUAUUUCUCAGCAAAAGAGGGAAAUUCUGAUCACCUACUGAUCAGGCUGACCCAGCCAAGGACAGUGUUUCCAGCGCCUGUCAGAGUCUUCAGCACCAGUAGCUUCUGAAGCUCCGAUCACAGACUGGUGAGGGGGUUCUGCGGUAGGCCAGGAUGAAGUGGAGGCAGUCUCUGCUGGA
Long non-coding RNA from Dromiciops gliroides (monito del monte), 1378 nucleotides. RefSeq lists it as uncharacterized. The transcript has 3 exons. Lineage: Eukaryota; Metazoa; Chordata; Mammalia; Microbiotheria; Microbiotheriidae. The record is from RefSeq and is a predicted model, not a curated record.